CCUCGGGAGUCUGCAGUGGGGAAUAUUGGACAAUGGGCGAAAGCCUGAUCCAGCCAUGCCGCGUGUGUGAAGAAGGCCUUCGGGUUGUAAAGCACUUUCAGUGGGGAAGAAAGCCUUGGGGCUAAUACCCUCGAGGAAGGACAUCACCCACAGAAGAAGCACCGGCUAACUCCGUGCCAGCAGCCGCGGUAAUACGGAGGGUGCGAGCGUUAAUCGGAAUUACUGGGCGUAAAGCGCGCGUAGGCGGUCUGAUAAGCCGGUUGUGAAAGCCCCGGGCUCAACCUGGGAACGGCAUCCGGAACUGUCAGGCUAGAGUGCAGGAGAGGAAGGUAGAAUUCCCGGUGUAGCGGUGAAAUGCGUAGAGAUCGGGAGGAAUACCAGUGGCGAAGGCGGCCUUCUGGACUGACACUGACGCUGAGGUGCGAAAGCGUGGGUAGCAAACAGGAUUAGAUACCCUAGUAGUC
RNAcentral lists this ribosomal RNA (464 nucleotides) under Vreelandella stevensii. RNAcentral describes it as "partial 16S ribosomal RNA". It matches the Rfam family "Bacterial small subunit ribosomal RNA", at positions 339 to 795 of the family's 1533-position model. The record is from RNAcentral. Lineage: Bacteria; Pseudomonadati; Pseudomonadota; Gammaproteobacteria; Oceanospirillales; Halomonadaceae.